This 432-nucleotide ribosomal RNA is filed under the name Ericerus pela. RNAcentral's name for it is "partial large subunit ribosomal RNA". Lineage: Eukaryota; Metazoa; Arthropoda; Insecta; Hemiptera; Coccidae. The record is from RNAcentral.
CCGUGAAUCCGGGCGCGCGGAAUUCAGGACGGAUGGCGUGGCUCGUCGAUUCGAUAUUUCCGCCGCCGACCCGCAACGGGUGCGGACGUCGCGACCCGUUGGCCGCCGGUCUCACGGGGCGCGUUUCAAGUUCGUCCGCUCGUGCGCUCGGGUCGGCGGCGAUGGCGCGUUUUCGNCGGGCCGGCGCGGACGGUAGCCUCGGUGCGGGUAAUCGACGCGGCCGCGAACGGNNNNUCGAACGUCGUCGGGCGUGCGCGUCGACGCCGGUCAGCGACGAAUCUUCGGGCCUCUUUCCGACCCGUCUUGAAACACGGACCAAGGAGUCUAACGUGCGCGCGAGUCGCGGGGUAUCCGAGUCGNAACGCGACUCGUCACGAUACGAAACCCGUGUACGUACGUUGUGCGAAGGCGUAAUGAAAGUGAAAGCCCGCG